Molecule: long non-coding RNA, 1042 nt
Organism: Capsicum annuum
Lineage: Eukaryota; Viridiplantae; Streptophyta; Magnoliopsida; Solanales; Solanaceae
Exons: 2
Source: RefSeq, a predicted model, not a curated record
AAUCUAUGUCCAUCUCGAGUAGUCCGCUGGCUUUGGCUAUAAAAAGCACCACAGCAGCUACACAAAAAACACACCUCAGUAAAAUGAAAAAGCUAAGGCAAAGAUAAAAGAGUGUGAUAGUUCAUAUCAAUGGAGUAGAGCUUAGUCGGGCUUGCGCUCCCAUGAGAGAGUACAGGAAUAUUUCUGAUAUACCUAGUUCCAAAAUAGUUGCAGCCCUUGCUUAUAGGGAUGGCAAUGGUGCGGGUGCGGUGCGAGUUUCGGGUUUUUACUAAACGCGCAAGUGUAAACACCUAAUUUUUGACCAAACUGAAUGUUUUACGUCAUUUAGUGUUUAAUAUAUAUACUUAAUUUUUAUCUUAUUUUUACAAGAUUGCUUUUAAAGUUUGGAAAAAUACAAAAAUAAAGUCAUAUUAAAAUAAGUUUUUUAUUUAUUUAUUUUUAUUACUUAUUUAUUUAUUUAUUUAAAAAAAAAAAAAAAAAAAAGAAGAUAAAGUCAAAUCCUAAAUUUACCCAAACCACCCACAAUCCCCCACUCCUAAUCAACCUCCCCCACUAUCCCCACACACUACCACAACUACAUACUACUAUAUAAAGCACUCAAACAUACUACAUAUUGGACUACAAAAACACACAUACGGAAACAAGAAGAAAAAACACUACUACUAUACUACAAAACCACUACACUACUACAUAUCAUAUAUACCACUACACUACUACAUAUCAGAUAUACCACACACACUACUACAACCACACACUCAGAUACAUAUGCACACACACAUACACGGCUGAAACAAGAAAAAGAAAAACCACUACAUAUUAUAUAUACUACAAACACACACACACGAAAAAAAAAAGAGUAUUCUUAUGGGUUCGUGAGUUGGAGUUCGAGUUUCGGUUCCUGUUUUAGUCUCCGGUGAUGGCAUUCUACUCCUGCUCUUAAUCAAUUUGUUACACAAGUAUGUCUAUUGUCGAGGCUUGACUUUGUUGUAUCAAGAAUGUUUUAUUGUUAAUUCAAUUUCGAAAAUAUAUUGGGUUGGCUCUA